GAUGAACGCUAGCGGCAGGCCUAACACAUGCAAGUCGAGGGAGAAGCCUUUCGGUUCAGAAACCGGCGCACGGGUGCGUAACGCGUAUGCAACCUACCUUUCACAGGUGGAUAGCCCGAUGAAAUUUGGAUUAAUACCCCAUAAUAUUGUUGGAUUGCAUCCUCUGUUAAUUAAAACUGCGGUUGUGAACGAUGGGCAUGCGUCCUAUUAGCUAGUUGGAGUGUUAACGGCACCUCAAGGCUACGAUAUGUAGGGGUCCUGAGAGUAAGAUCCCCCACAGGGGGACCGGGAAAGUGACGAGAGAGAUACGGGAGGGAGUAGUGAGGAAGAUAGGUGAAUGGUAGGAAGAAUGAAGCAGCGAAGCCGGGUGCAGGAAGAAUGCCUGAGGGAUUGUAAACUGCUUGUAUAUGGGAAGAAUAAGGUGUAAGUGUACAUGGAUGACGGUACCAGAUGAAUAAGCACCGGCUAACUCCGUG
RNAcentral lists this ribosomal RNA (476 nucleotides) under uncultured bacterium. RNAcentral describes it as "partial 16S ribosomal RNA". It matches the Rfam family "Bacterial small subunit ribosomal RNA", at positions 28 to 507 of the family's 1533-position model. The record is from RNAcentral.